AAACUACUCUAGGACGUGGUUGGAUAAACGCAUGUUGUUCAGCAGAGGCCGUUAACCUUUAAAGCGCUGAUACGUUUUGGUUUAUUUCAAUUUUUUUAACCCGAAUUGCUGUCUUUUUAAGAAGUCUCUGAAAUCGUCUCCCUUGACAGGGCAAGCAAAACGUGCCUUAAAUCUCCAUCUCGUGGAAGAUCUGCUUGGCUGGCAGCUGAUGUGUGUUGCUGUUGGGUUUUAAGGAACAUCUCUGUGUUGUACUUCUUUUGUUGUUUAGCUUUGAUUUAGUAUUUUUUUCCUUUUUCUCUUUGUUUUAUUUGAUUGGUUGUUUUUGGUCUUUUGCAUUUGGUUUUUCAAAGAGCUUUGGCAAACACCAGAGCCAUCAAGGCCAGGGCAGGCCCUCUCUCCUCCUUCUCUUACUGAUGCUCUUGACCUGAGUUCCUUGAGUGCUCCUCUGCGAUCUGCCAAGGUGCAAAAUUUGCAAAAUUAUCUCCUGCCUUUAAUCCCAGCUUUCUCCCACCUGUGGGAUGCUCCCUCCAGUUCUGUCUGGGUUCAGAUUGAAUUAGCUGUGUUGAAAGGAGGAUUCAGCUUUGUGGAAUCUGUCCCUCUGCUCCCUUGCAUGCUAUCAGAGGUAAUUUAGGUGUUGCAUGUACUUGCAUUGCUCUGAGGGAGUUGGAAUCUCUAGGGCACACAUUCACAUGCUGGAAC
RNAcentral lists this long non-coding RNA (699 nucleotides) under Zonotrichia albicollis (white-throated sparrow). Its description in RNAcentral is "lncRNA (ENSZALG00000010372.1)". The record is from RNAcentral. Lineage: Eukaryota; Metazoa; Chordata; Aves; Passeriformes; Passerellidae.